UACAGGGGGUGCAAACGUUGCUCGGAAUUAUUGGGCGUAAAGCGCACGUAGGCGGUUUGUUAUGUCGGAUGUGAAAGCCCUUGGCUCAACUGAGGAAGUGCAUCCGAAACUGGCAAGCUAGAGUAUGUAAGAGGGUCGCGGAAUUCCCGGUGUAGAGGUGAAAUUCGUAGAUAUCAAGCGGAACACCGGUGGCGAAGGCGGCCUUCUGGACAGUGACUGACGCUGAGACGCGAAAGCGUGGGGAGCAAACAGG
RNAcentral lists this ribosomal RNA (253 nucleotides) under uncultured bacterium. Its description in RNAcentral is "partial 16S ribosomal RNA". It matches the Rfam family "Bacterial small subunit ribosomal RNA", at positions 524 to 776 of the family's 1533-position model. The record is from RNAcentral.